Rhopalosiphum padi (bird cherry-oat aphid) is the source of this 978-nucleotide long non-coding RNA. RefSeq lists it as uncharacterized. The record is from RefSeq and is a predicted model, not a curated record. The transcript has 5 exons. NCBI's taxonomy places the organism in Eukaryota, Metazoa, Arthropoda, Insecta, Hemiptera, Aphididae.
ACUCCUUUCACAAAUGUUGUAAUAAGAAUGAAGUUUGUGUGUUAGUUUUUGUUUGACUAUUUCCAUUUCUGAAUUGCUCAGUGUAUUCCCGUACUAGUUGUAAUAUAAAGAUUUUCGUUUUAAUUAUGGCAUGUAUUAGUGACAUUUUAUCCUACAACUAUUAUACAUAUUUAACCGACUACAUUUUUUCAGAUGGUAGUACAGCAGAUCACUUGAUGCAUGCUGAGACGGAGAUUUACAUUCCUACAACUUGGGAAAGUAUCAACAUCCUACAUUAAACAAUGGACAAGAAGAUUCUGAUAAUAAUAAUGGUUUUAUGCAAUAAGGCAGUAUUAUAGUAGAUCACUCAAGGCAUGCUGAGACAUUUAUUAACAUUUUCGGAAUUUGGGAAAGUUUCAACAUCCCACAUUGAUCAUGGACUUGAAGAUUCUGAUAAUAAUAAUGAUUUUAUGCAAUGUACUUGUAAUGAAUAUAAAAUAUGGUAGUACAGCAGAUCACUUGAUGCAUGCUGAGACGGAGAUUCACAUUCCUACAACUUGGGAAAGUAUCAACAUCCUACAUUAAACAAUGGACAAGAAGAUUCUGAUAAUAAUAAUGGUUUUAUGCAAUAAGGCAGUAUUAUAGUAGAUCACUCAAGGCAUGCUGAGACAUUUAUUAACAUUUUCGGAAUUUGGGAAAGUUUCAACAUCCCACAUUGAUCAUGGACUUGAAGAUUCUGAUAAUAAUAAUGAUUUUAUGCAAUGUACUUGUAAUGAAUAUAAAAUAUGGUAGUACAGCAGAUCACUUGAUGCAUGCUGAGACGGAGAUUCACAUUCCUACAACUUGGGAAAGUAUCAACAUCCUACAUUAAACAAUGGACUAGAAGAUUCUGAUAAUAAUAAUGGUUUUAUGCAAUGUAUGUGAAAUGAAUAUAGAAUGUAAUCGAUAGUCAAUUAAUAGUAGUAUAACAUAAAAUUAGUUUCAAAAAACCCUGAUCAU